Molecule: transfer RNA, 73 nt
Filed under: Lepocinclis tripteris
Lineage: Eukaryota; Euglenozoa; Euglenophyceae; Euglenales; Phacaceae
Description: tRNA-Val
Rfam family: tRNA
About the family: Transfer RNA (tRNA) molecules are approximately 80 nucleotides in length. Their secondary structure includes four short double-helical elements and three loops (D, anti-codon, and T loops).
Source: RNAcentral
GAGGAUAUAGCUCAGCUGGUAGAGCGUCUGCCUUACAAGCCGAAUGUCAAUGGUUCGAGUCCAUUUAUCCUCA